RNAcentral lists this transfer RNA (75 nucleotides) under Acidithiobacillus sp. Its description in RNAcentral is "tRNA-Glu". It matches the Rfam family "tRNA". From Rfam's summary of the family: Transfer RNA (tRNA) molecules are approximately 80 nucleotides in length. RNAcentral also lists the same sequence under 4 other names. The record is from RNAcentral. Lineage: Bacteria; Pseudomonadati; Pseudomonadota; Acidithiobacillia; Acidithiobacillales; Acidithiobacillaceae.
GCUCCCUUCGUCUAGCGGUCAGGACGCCGGCCUCUCACGCCGGUAACAGGGGUUCGAUUCCCCUAGGGAGCGCCA